GUAUUCCGCUAAAUAGCGUAUAUUAAAGUUGUUGCAGUUAAAAAGCUCGUAGUUGAAUUUCGGGGUCAGUAGGUUGGUCGUGCCACUGGUACGUACUGGUCUCACUGAUUCCUCCUUCCUGAUGAACCGUAAUGCCAUUAAUUUGGUGUUGCGGGGAAACUGGACUGCUACUUUGAAAAAAUUAGAGUGUUUAAAGCAGGCUAACGCUUGAAUACAUUAGCAUGGAAUAAUGAAAUAGGACGUUCGAUCCUAUUUUGUUGGUUUCUAGGAUUGACGUAAUGAUUAAUAGGGAUAGUUGGGGGCAUUAGUAUUCAAUUGUCAGAGGUGAAAUUCUUGGAUUUAUUGAAGACUAACUACUGCGAAAGCAUUUGCCAAGGAUGUUUUCAUUAAUCAAGAACGAAAGUUAGGGGAUCGAAGACGAUCAGAUACCGUCGUAGUCUUAACCAUAAACUAUGCCGACUAGGGAUCGGAUGAUGUUAUUUUUAAUGACUCAUUCGGCGCCUUACGGGAAACA
This 514-nucleotide ribosomal RNA is filed under the name uncultured Glomus. Its description in RNAcentral is "SSU rRNA". It matches the Rfam family "Eukaryotic small subunit ribosomal RNA", at positions 579 to 1099 of the family's 1831-position model. The record is from RNAcentral. Lineage: Eukaryota; Fungi; Glomeromycota; Glomeromycetes; Glomerales; Glomeraceae.